GAUGAACGCUGGCGGCGUGCCUAAUACAUGCAAGUCGAGCGAACAGACGAGGAGCCUGCUCCUCUGACGUUAGCGGCGGACGGGUGAGUAACACGUGGAUAACCUACCUAUAAGACUGGGAUAACUUCGGAAAACCGGAGCUAAUACCGGAUAACAUGUUGAACCGCAUGGUUCAACAGUGAAAGACGGUCUUGCUGUCACUUAUAGAUGGAUCCGCGCCGCAUUAGCUAGUUGGUAAGGUAACGGCUUACCAAGGCAACGAUGCGUAGCCGACCUGAGAGGGUGAUCGGCCACACUGGAACUGAGACACGGUCCAGACUCCUACGGGAGGCAGCAGUAGGGAAUCUUCCGCAAUGGGCGAAAGCCUGACGGAGCAACGCCGCGUGAGUGAAGAAGGUCUUCGGAUCGUAAAACUCUGUUAUUAGGGAAGAACAAAUGUGUAAGUAACUAUGCACGUCUUGACGGUACCUAAUCAGAAAGCCACGGCUAACUACGUG
This 497-nucleotide ribosomal RNA is filed under the name uncultured bacterium. RNAcentral describes it as "partial 16S ribosomal RNA". It matches the Rfam family "Bacterial small subunit ribosomal RNA", at positions 28 to 507 of the family's 1533-position model. The record is from RNAcentral.